This 86-nucleotide transfer RNA is filed under the name Felis catus (domestic cat). It matches the Rfam family "tRNA". From Rfam's summary of the family: Transfer RNA (tRNA) molecules are approximately 80 nucleotides in length. Their secondary structure includes four short double-helical elements and three loops (D, anti-codon, and T loops). The record is from Rfam by way of RNAcentral. Lineage: Eukaryota; Metazoa; Chordata; Mammalia; Carnivora; Felidae.
GCCUGGGUGGCUCAGUCGGUUGAGCAUCUGACUUCGACUCAGGUCAUGAUUUCGCAGUCCGUGAGUUCAAAGCCCCGUGUCAGGCU